RNAcentral lists this ribosomal RNA (274 nucleotides) under uncultured bacterium. RNAcentral's name for it is "partial 16S ribosomal RNA". It matches the Rfam family "Archaeal small subunit ribosomal RNA", at positions 473 to 747 of the family's 1478-position model. The record is from RNAcentral.
AAACCAGCACCUCAAGUGGUCAGGAUGAUUAUUGGGCCUAAAGCAUCCGUAGCCGGCUCUGUAAGUUUUCGGUUAAAUCUGUAUGCUCAACAUACAGGCCGCCGGGAAUACUGCAGAGCUAGGGAGUGGGAGAGGUAGACGGUACUCGGUAGGAAGGGGUAAAAUCCUUUGAUCUAUUGAUGACCACCUGUGGCGAAGGCGGUCUACCAGAACACGUUCGACGGUGAGGGAUGAAAGCUGGGGGAGCAAACCGGAUUAGAAACCCCGGUAGUCC